UUUUCGUGCAUGUACGUGAAACACAGCUCGAGGGCUGUUGAUUUUUUUACGAUAGGUGGCGCUGUCGAGCCAUUUUGCCACACCCUCUUCUGAAACCUAUAUCAGACGUAAAUUUUCACCAGGUCUGACGCGUGUGCAAAGUUUCAGGACUUUUCGAGCAUGUUUAGGCCCUCAAAAAUGCGAUUCAUUUUGGAGAAGAAGAAGAAGAAGAAUAAUAAUAAUAAUAAUAAACGAAGCAGAUACAAGAGGGUCCUCACACCAUCGGUGCUCGGGCCCUAAUUAAAGCUGCAAGCAGCGAUGAACGGGCCCUCGCACCCGGGCUCACCACCACCGGGUGGCUUUUGUAAAACAGCGAACGGCGAGAAAUAUGCGUUUAAUGUGGUAAAUAUAAGAGGAAUAUGUCAAAGUCAUUUAUAUAUGCCAAUCUUCCUGCUGCCAGCUGGUGGCGCUAUGACUAUAACUGGAUGUUGUCAUGUAGAUUUCUUCAGUCCAGCACUUUUAUCAAGCAUAUGAAAUUUAGUGCAGAUUGAACAUGGAAUGUUUGAGUUAGUAUAAAGCAUGUUGUGUCCUAUUGCCAACAGGUGGCGCUAUGAUUAUAACUGAACAUUGG
Molecule: long non-coding RNA, 610 nt
Organism: Cyprinus carpio carpio
Lineage: Eukaryota; Metazoa; Chordata; Actinopteri; Cypriniformes; Cyprinidae
Source: Ensembl